GUUGACCUCGAAUCAGGUAGGAAUACCCGCUGA
RNAcentral lists this ribosomal RNA (33 nucleotides) under Fusarium solani. RNAcentral describes it as "partial 28S large subunit ribosomal RNA". Lineage: Eukaryota; Fungi; Ascomycota; Sordariomycetes; Hypocreales; Nectriaceae. The record is from RNAcentral.